GCUCCUCCAUCGCCCCUAUUAUCAUGCGCCCUAAAUCGUCGAUAACUCCCACGAGCCAACCCUUAACCUGUGUGGGCAAUGCCUUUAAGUUUAUCUGGCCUUUAUAGUUUUCAGCAUCGACAAUGACCAAGCCAUCGGAACUUUUUUCUUUACAAGUAGUAAACCCAGAUGUGGUUUAACCUUAAAUCAUUAACGGAAAAACAUGAGCUUGCUUUUAUAACGGUUGAAUUGGAUUACAGCAAGGUCAUCCUCCUCAAGAUGGGGCUUGCCAAUAAGCUUUAGAGAACUGGGUUCCUGCCAUACCGUCGGGAAGAAGAAGACACCCAACUGAUCUUUCACGAAAGUGUAUCGGAUUUUCUAUUGGUGCUAGUUAUUUGGUUUGUGGUUGACAAUUUACACGCCAACACUUGGGUUGGUGGACGCAAUGGAGCCUCU
Molecule: long non-coding RNA, 435 nt
Filed under: Gossypium raimondii (Peruvian cotton)
Lineage: Eukaryota; Viridiplantae; Streptophyta; Magnoliopsida; Malvales; Malvaceae
Description: long non-coding RNA (GRAI_LNC006922)
Source: RNAcentral